GCCUUCAUGGUGUAGUGGUCAGCACGCUCGACGCGUAUUCGAGAGGCCUGUGGUUCGAGUCCCGGCGAAGGCA
Molecule: non-coding RNA, 73 nt
Organism: Stegodyphus mimosarum
Lineage: Eukaryota; Metazoa; Arthropoda; Arachnida; Araneae; Eresidae
Source: Rfam